UAUGGAGCUUCAAUUAACUAACCCAUAGUAAAUACACUUAACCACCAACCGGGUCUAACAGAACCUUACUAAUGAGUUAGCAAUUUAGGUUGGGGCGACCUCGGAGAAUAAAAUAACCUCCGAGUGAUACAAGCACAGACAAACCAGUCAAAGCAUCCUAUCAUUCAUUGAUCCAAUAACUUGAUCAACGGAACAAGUUACCCUA
Molecule: ribosomal RNA, 205 nt
Filed under: Martes martes (European pine marten)
Lineage: Eukaryota; Metazoa; Chordata; Mammalia; Carnivora; Mustelidae
Description: partial 16S ribosomal RNA
Source: RNAcentral